RNA transcript from Sapajus apella (tufted capuchin), 1406 nucleotides. It is a transcript of the gene named RNA guanine-N7 methyltransferase activating subunit pseudogene, with no coding region annotated. Lineage: Eukaryota; Metazoa; Chordata; Mammalia; Primates; Cebidae. The record is from RefSeq and is a predicted model, not a curated record. The transcript has a single exon.
CAUGCCAUUGCUCUCCAGCCUGGACGACAAGAGUGAAACUCGGUCUCAAAAAAAAAAAAAAAAAAAAAGUUAUAUGGUAAAGUCUCUCUGUUACCCUGUCCCCAAACAUUCAUUUCUUUCCCUGGAGGCAGCCACUAUUACCAGUUUCUUAAAAAAAAAAAAAAAAAAAAAAAGCGUGAAGUGGCUCUGUUACGUUGGAGGGCUGGAGUUGUCUGGAGUUCCACGGCGUGGUGGGCUAGAGGCCACCUCUCCUGUGGCCUCUUAGUGUCUCCAGGGCGGGGUUUGGCCCAAGCUGGAUAGAGACAGCCCUUUGCGGAUUUAAACAACCUAAACAUUAAGCAAUACAGCUGCCUCAAAUCUUUGGGAAUUUCAGAAUGACUGACACUGCCGAAGCUGUUCCAAACUUUGAAGAGAUGUUUGCUAGUAGAUUCACAGAAGAUGACAAGGAAUAUCAGGAAUACCUAAAACGCCCUCCUGAGUCCCCUCCAAUUGUUGAGGAAUGGAAUAGCAGAGCUGGUGGGAACCAAAGAAACAGAGGCAACCGAUUGCAAGAUAACAGACAGUUCAGAGGCAGGGACAGCAGAUGGGGGUGACCAAGUGACAAUCGAUCCAAUCAGUGUCAUGGACGAUCCUGGAGUAAUAAUUACCCGAAACACAGACAAGAACCUUACUAUCCCCACCAAUAUGGACAUUAUGGCUACAAUCAGCAGCUUCCUUACGGUUACUACUGAUAGAAAUGUUGGCAGCUUUUAGUAAAAGCAUUUACUCUGUUACCAUGACAAAAGUUUGGGUGUCAUCUGUUGGUCAUAGUUUUACAUCUGAUUUUAGAGAAUGGAUUAUUUUUUGGAAGUUGAGACUUAAAAAAAAAAUAGAUCUUACUUGCGAGAUAACGAUGGUUGCUGGUAAUACCUGAAAUUGUGGAUAAUAUUGCUUGACUUCUACCUCAGAGUCUUCCUUGUUUCACGACGUAAUAGUGCUUUGAGUUUGGUAUGUUUUCUUAUUUGACCUCUAGGAGAUCUUUGUUUUACACAGAAAUAAAAUUUUAAAAUAGAAAAUGCUGGCUUUUACUUUGUAAGGUAAGAGAGUAUCCAUAUACUUAGAUGUGCUCGUUUCUAAAAUUUUAGAAGUUAAUACAAUUAGCUCAUGAAUGCACAGCUAUGCUUCUUGUGAAAGAUUAUAUAUAACAUCAGCAGUUGAAAGAUAAAACAAUUGCUUUUUUUUUUUUUCUUAUGUGACUAUGGUACUUUGUGAUUCCUUAUUCUAUAGAUAAUGAGGUCAGCUCCACAUUUAUUUGGGUCUCUUUAGAGGGAAAUCAGUAAUAAAGCUGUAAAAUAAGGAAGGAAUCAUUGUCAGUUUGUGUCUUGAUCUGGUGGUGGUUGGGAUUAGGGUAACACCAUUGUAUAUAC